GACGAACGCUGGCGGCGUGCUUAACACAUGCAAGUCGAACGGAAAGGCCCUGCUUUUGUGGGGUGCUCGAGUGGCGAACGGGUGAGUAACACGUGAGUAACCUGCCCUUGACUUUGGGAUAACUUCAGGAAACUGGGGCUAAUACCGGAUAGGAGCUCCUGCUGCAUGGUGGGGGUUGGAAAGUUUCGGCGGUUGGGGAUGGACUCGCGGCUUAUCAGCUUGUUGGUGGGGUAGUGGCUUACCAAGGCUUUGACGGGUAGCCGGCCUGAGAGGGUGACCGGCCACAUUGGGACUGAGAUACGGACCAGACUCCUACGGGAGGCAGCAGUGGGGAAUAUUGCACAAUGGGCGGAAGCCUGAUGCAGCAACGCCGCGUGCGGGAUGACGGCCUUCGGGUUGUAAACCGCUUUCUCCUGUGACGAAGCGUGAGUGACGGUAAUGGGUAAAGAAGCACCGGCUAACUACGUG
This 468-nucleotide ribosomal RNA is filed under the name uncultured bacterium. RNAcentral describes it as "partial 16S ribosomal RNA". It matches the Rfam family "Bacterial small subunit ribosomal RNA", at positions 28 to 507 of the family's 1533-position model. The record is from RNAcentral.